CCUUUGUUGCCAGCGGUUAGGCCGGGAACUCAAAGGAGACUGCCAGUGAUAAACUGGAGGAAGGUGGGGAUGACGUCAAGUCAUCAUGGCCCUUACUAGUAGGGCUACACACGUGCUACAAUGGCGCAUACAAAGAGAAGCGACCUCGCGAGAGCAAGCGGACCUCAUAAAGUGCGUCGUAGUCCGGAUUGGAGUCUGCAACUCGACUCCAUGAAGUCGGAAUCGCUAGUAAUCGUGGAUCAGAAUGCCACGGUGAAUACGUUCCCGGGCCUUGUACACACCGCCCGUCACACCAUGGGAGUGGGUUGCAAAAGAAGUAGGUAGCUUAACCUUCGGGAGGGCGCUUACCACUUUGUGAUUCAUGACUGGGGUGAAGUCGUAACAAGGUAGCCGU
This 394-nucleotide ribosomal RNA is filed under the name uncultured bacterium. RNAcentral describes it as "bacterial SSU rRNA". It matches the Rfam family "Bacterial small subunit ribosomal RNA", at positions 1109 to 1503 of the family's 1533-position model. The record is from RNAcentral.